GACGAACGCUGGCGGCGUGCUUAACACAUGCAAGUCGAACGGAAAGGCCCUGCUUUUGUGGGGUGCUCGAGUGGCGAACGGGUGAGUAACACGUGAGUAACCUGCCCUUGACUUUGGGAUAACUUCAGGAAACUGGGGCUAAUACCGGAUAGGAGCUCCUGCUGCAUGGUGGGGGUUGGAAAGUUUCGGCGGUUGGGGAUGGACUCGCGGCUUAUCAGCUUGUUGGUGGGGUAGUGGCUUACCAAGGCUUUGACGGGUAGCCGGCCUGAGAGUGUGACCGGCCACAUUGGGACUGAGAUGCGGCCCAGACUGCUACGGGAGGCAGCAGUGGGGAAUAUUGCACAAUGGGCGGAAGCCUGAUGCAGCAACUCCGCGUGGGGGAUGACUGCCUGCGGGUUGUAAACCGCUUUCGCCUGUGACGAAGCGUGAGUGACGGUAAUGGGUAAAGAAGCACCGGCUAACUACGUG
Molecule: ribosomal RNA, 468 nt
Filed under: uncultured bacterium
Lineage: Bacteria
Description: partial 16S ribosomal RNA
Rfam family: Bacterial small subunit ribosomal RNA
Source: RNAcentral